AGCGGGGUAGAGCAGUUUGGUAGCUCGCAAGGCUCAUAACCUUGAGGUCACGGGUUCAAAUCCUGUCUCCGCAA
This 74-nucleotide transfer RNA is filed under the name Equisetum scirpoides. RNAcentral's name for it is "tRNA-fMet". It matches the Rfam family "tRNA". Rfam says of the family: Transfer RNA (tRNA) molecules are approximately 80 nucleotides in length. Their secondary structure includes four short double-helical elements and three loops (D, anti-codon, and T loops). Lineage: Eukaryota; Viridiplantae; Streptophyta; Polypodiopsida; Equisetales; Equisetaceae. The record is from RNAcentral. RNAcentral also lists the same sequence under 27 other names.